This is a long non-coding RNA of Hypanus sabinus (Atlantic stingray), 344 nucleotides long. RefSeq lists it as uncharacterized. The record is from RefSeq and is a predicted model, not a curated record. NCBI's taxonomy places the organism in Eukaryota, Metazoa, Chordata, Chondrichthyes, Myliobatiformes, Dasyatidae. The transcript has 3 exons.
GUCCAUUCAGCUGAGGCAAAACUUCAUCCGGGAAUCUGUCAGGGUCAUCUACUGUAUCCAGUGUUCCAGAAGCAGCCUCCUCAACACUGGUGAAGACCAACCUGGAUUACAGAAGGUUUGGAAUCAUUGCUUAAGGGCACGAAAGGUCUCGGAAACAAGUUGAGCUGACAAAAUGACACACAGGCAUUGAACGCUGAACUUUACCAAUUAAUCUCUACACAUAGAAAUCGACAAGGGUUAUUUCGAAGACCCUGACUUGGUUACACGCUGACUAUGGUUCUUUGCGGGAAUGGGACCUGCUCUCGGGGUUCCACAAUCAGCCGCUAUUCAGCAUGCCAUUGGCU